UAGGGAAUCUUCGGCAAUGGACGGAAAGUCUGACCGAGCAACGCCGCGUGAGUGAAGAAGGUUUUCGGAUCGUAAAACUCUGUUGGUAGAGAAGAACGUUGGUGAGAGUGGAAAGCUCAUCAAGUGACGGUAACUACCCAGAAAGGGACGGCUAACUACGUGCCCC
Molecule: ribosomal RNA, 166 nt
Filed under: uncultured bacterium
Lineage: Bacteria
Description: partial 16S rRNA
Rfam family: Bacterial small subunit ribosomal RNA
Source: RNAcentral